Molecule: long non-coding RNA, 3026 nt
Filed under: Daucus carota (carrot)
Lineage: Eukaryota; Viridiplantae; Streptophyta; Magnoliopsida; Apiales; Apiaceae
Description: long non-coding RNA (DCAR_LNC003790)
Source: RNAcentral
UAAAGUAUAAAACAAGCCACAACACAACUUCGAUUAUUACAAACCCAAAUCCCAAAAUAAAAACUUAAAUCUUACAAGCUUACACGUCAUUUGUGUCUCAUUAUUCAAAUUAAUACAUAUAUCAAAAGUCAAGCGCUGCCGAUAGCUCUCUCCAUCUCUCAGCCUGGAAUCCUGGCCUUACCACUAGCCUGAGUAUCAUCGUUACCAACCUUCUCUGCUUUCACUGGAAAGAACAUAGAGUAUCGCAAGAGUGAGCUGACAAGCUCAGCAAGUAUAAUAAUAUCCAUUUAAACAUUUAUCAAAAGAUGAUGGAAGUCAGUAUUUAAGAGAAUCAAUCUCAAUAUCAAAGUUUCUUUUUAGAUUUUCAAUUAGAAUUGGAUAUUAAAUUUUAUUUUUAAAAACCAAAGGUUAGGCUGCUGAUCAGUCAGACACUAACCCCGAGCAGGCCCCGCCAUGCUCGUUUACUGGAUCCAAGGCACACAUUGGCCUAAAGUGACCACUCAUCUGGUCUGACCAUUCAUUUGGUCCAUUUAAGAAAACUAUCCAAUUCUAUUAUAAAUCAGGAUGAAUAACAACAUAAUGCAAUAAACAGAAUCAUUAAGAACAUAAUUAAAUUUUUGGAGCAGAAACAGAAUUCAGUUCAGAAGCAUCUUAAAGAUAUUCCAUAAUGAGAAUCAGGAAUAAUUUCACGAGUUAAGGAAUCAGAUAUAGCAUAUCUGGAUUUCCAAGCGAAACAAUAAUCAUGAUUUGUAUGAAAGAAGGUUUCCGGUUUUAUUAAAAGAUCCACAUGUCAAAGGGUGUUGUCAAAUCCAAAGAAGUUAGGUUAUAAAAAAAAAAAAAAAAAAAAUAAACAAUUAUGGGGUAUAUGGUGUUUCAAGUAUGAUUGACUUCCGAUCAAUUGGUUUGGAUAGUAAAGGUGUGUCAAAACAUUGAAAUAAGGUUUAUAGGGUAGUUAUCCAAAAAUCUCAAGGGUUGAAGGUUUACAAUUGAAUAAGGUUUCCAAAAUAGAUAUCAAAGAAUCAAGUUAAGGGCUCAAGAAUCAAUAAAUGAAUAAUCCAAGUGAUAGUCAAAGAAUCUGGUUGAUGGUUUAAGAAUCGAUGAAUUAAACAAUUCAUGAUAUGGCUCAUUAAGUGUCAUGAGUGAAUUAGAAAGCUCGCAAAGCAAUCACAUCAAGGAUCAUAUAUAUAUAUUUGAAGGAAAGUACCAAGGAAACUUGCCUUAUACUGACGAUUUCAAAUUUCAAUCGCUCCUGCUCGAUAUACUAUUCUAUAUCCACUUGCUUUCCCCCUCUAAUACGCCUGGCUUCUCUGCUAAUCAUCACAACUAAUUAUCAAUAUGUGAUCUCAUACUAUUCUCAUCAUCUUACAUUCGAAACGGGCUUCUAUCUACCCUUCGUUUCACCCAAAUCCGAUUUACGGAUCAAAAGAUAUAUCAAAAACAAUUUUAUAUCAAUCACGUAAACACAUAACAUCUCAAUCAAAUAGCACAUAGCACGUAUCACAUAAAAUAUUUAAUAAAAUAUAUUUUUCAAAAGAAGUUUGAAGUCAAACGGAUUUUUCUGGUAUUUAUUAUGAAUUUUUAAACAUUUUUCAGAAUUAAAACGGGUCAAAGAACCAUUUAUAAUAAAUAAUCCAUUUCUGGAUACUCGAAAACACAUCCGAAAUCAUUUGAAAUCAAUUAACGAGCUUCAAUCAUAUUUUAGAAUAAUAUUUUAAAGCUCGAAACUAUUUUUCGGAAUUUUAAAAUCAUUUAAAAAUAUUUAAAAUCAUUAAAUCCAAUUAAUAAAUCAAUUAAAAUCAAUUAAUAAUUAAUUAAAACAAUUAAUCAAUUAAUAAUUAAAUUAAUUGACUAACUAUAAUAAUUAAUUACUAAUUAAAAUUAAUUAAUAAAUUAAAUCAGAUUUAUUUUUGAAUUAAUAAAUAAUUAAAAACAAUUUUUGAAAUUAAAAUAAAUGAUUUUCGAAAUUAAAUUUAAAUAAAUAAAACUUUUAAAAGAUUUUAAAAAUUCAAGGUUUGAUUUGCAAACUUUGAAAGUACAGUACCUCAGCUUCAUCAUAUUCAAAAGCCGAGGUACUGAACUGCAUUUUGGCCGGCGGCCGAAUUACUUUCGCCGGAAACGGCGGUUCCGGCCACCUCCGGCCCCCAAAACCUCCAGAUCACUAGCAGGGAUGACCCUGAGUACUCCUGCACCUCCCAAUCUCACAACCAACCUCAAUCGAGGCCGGAAAUGGAGAACGAAGCUCGCCGGCGGCGAGCCACGUUUCCAGAAUCCGGCGAGCUAUACAUAGCUCUUUCAACUGAUUUGGACACAUAAACAUACUCCCCUCAACACGCCCUUUCUACUGAUACUAUCCACAUCAACCCAGACUUAACGGAUUGAAAAUCCGGCCAAAAAUUCAACUUUUCCGGCAACAAUCCUCAAGAACACCAAGAACACAAUUUCAAUAAUUAAACUGACUUUUCUACAUGUUAUUGAACUCCAAAUCAAGCAUAUGAUAUACCAAAAUGACCAGGAGAAGAUUAUCUACAACAUACAAUCAUCAAAUCACACAAACAACUUCAAAAUCAAAAAUCCCUAAUUUGAGAUUAUUUACUUCGAAUUUAAAACUCAAAAUCCAAACCCACCUGAUGUUGCUGCACUGAUUUUGAUGCUAGAUUAUGAUUCUACUUGUUAAAACCUUCAAUUUGAGUCCUUGAACGCCAAAAUCCGAGUCCGAUAACGCGUCCAAAUCCUCGUUUGAAUCUCAAGAACACGAAGAACUCUCUCGGGAAUUUCUCGGUUUUAACUGGUUUUAUGAUUUUCGUAAUAAAAUAAAGUACGGUUAAGUAUAUUUAUACUUAUGAAUAAUUAGUACCCCUUUGAAUCAUAUAUGGCAUGAAAAUACAAUGUUUAAUAGCUUUAUACUAAUAAAACGGGUCCAAUCGGUACCGGUUUUCGAGAUAAUCAUCAAACGGGGCUUUUUAAUCCGUCAUUAGUAUGCGGGUCCCACCGUCAUUAUGACAAGAUAAGGAUAAGUAUAAAAUAAC